Molecule: ribosomal RNA, 254 nt
Filed under: uncultured bacterium
Lineage: Bacteria
Description: partial 16S ribosomal RNA
Rfam family: Bacterial small subunit ribosomal RNA
Source: RNAcentral
UACGAAGGGGGCUAGCGUUGUUCGGAUUUACUGGGCGUAAAGCGCACGUAGGCGGAUCUUUAAGUCAGAGGUGAAAUCCCGGAGCUCAACUUCGGAACUGCCUUUGAUACUGGGGAUCUCGAGUUCGGGAGAGGUGAGUGGAACUGCGAGUGUAGAGGUGAAAUUCGUAGAUAUUCGCAAGAACACCAGUGGCGAAGGCGGCUCACUGGCCCGAUACUGACGCUGAGGUGCGAAAGCGUGGGGAGCAAACAGGG